UACGUAGGGUGCAAGCGUUAAUCGGAAUUACUGGGCGUAAAGCGUGCGCAGGCGGUUUUGUAAGUCUGGCGUGAAAGCCCCGGGCUCAACCUGGGAAUUGCGAUGGAGACUGCAAGGCUUGAAUCUGGCAGAGGGGGGUAGAAUUCCACGUGUAGCAGUGAAAUGCGUAGAGAUGUGGAGGAACACCGAUGGCGAAGGCAGCCCCCUGGGUCAAGAUUGACGCUCAUGCACGAAAGCGUGGGGAGCGAACAGG
This 253-nucleotide ribosomal RNA is filed under the name uncultured bacterium. RNAcentral's name for it is "partial 16S ribosomal RNA". It matches the Rfam family "Bacterial small subunit ribosomal RNA", at positions 524 to 776 of the family's 1533-position model. The record is from RNAcentral.